GGCAUUAGGUGGCCCUGCGGAGCUGCCGUUAGGUACGCCGGCAUGCUGCCUGCUAACCCUAAAUUAAGGCUCUGCCUCGCGCACAUGAUGCGCGGCAACUUUCACAGGGAUUUGCCUGUCCCUUACCCUACCUGCUGCAAUUAGCGCAGGACAACAAGGGGCUACGCUCCGCAGGGCCCCUAACUUUCCUGGUUACAUGCGUGCACGAGGUGUGGUCUAUCUGCAAGUGAUGGGCGCUUGUGGCGUCGGUCACCUGAAUGGUUUGGCCAUGUGCAGAGACCCGAAGCCUGUACACGUACGCCGUGUGGGUGCUGCAUUUUG
RNAcentral lists this non-coding RNA (321 nucleotides) under Chlamydomonas reinhardtii. The record is from RNAcentral. Lineage: Eukaryota; Viridiplantae; Chlorophyta; Chlorophyceae; Chlamydomonadales; Chlamydomonadaceae.